GACGAACGCUGGCGGCGUGCCUAAUACAUGCAAGUCGAACGCUGAAGCGAGGAGCUUGCUCUUCUUGGAUGAGCUGCGAACGGGUGAGUAACGCGUAGGUAACCUGCCUGGUAGCGGGGGAUAACUACGGGAAACGAUAGCUAAUACCGCAUAAAAUGGAUUAUCGCAUGAUAAACCAGUGAAAGGUGCAAAUGCAUCACUACCAGGUGGACCUGCGUUUUAUUAGCUAGUUGGUGGGGUAACGGCCCACCCAGGCGACGGUACAUAGCCGGCCUGGAAGGGGGAUCGGCCACACUGGGACUGAGACACGGCCCAGACUCCUUCGGGAGGCAACAGUAGGGGAUCUUCGGCAAAGGGCGGAAGGCUGACCGAAGAACGCCGGGUGAGUGGAGAAAGUUUUCGGAUCGUAAAGCUCUGUUGUAUGGGAAGGAAGAGUGGGAGAGUGAAAAGUUCACACUGUGACGGUAUCUUACCAGAAAGGGACGGCUAACUACGUG
This 497-nucleotide ribosomal RNA is filed under the name uncultured bacterium. Its description in RNAcentral is "partial 16S ribosomal RNA". It matches the Rfam family "Bacterial small subunit ribosomal RNA", at positions 28 to 507 of the family's 1533-position model. The record is from RNAcentral.